RNAcentral lists this long non-coding RNA (39852 nucleotides) under Vitis vinifera (wine grape). RNAcentral describes it as "long non-coding RNA (VVIN_LNC000615)". Lineage: Eukaryota; Viridiplantae; Streptophyta; Magnoliopsida; Vitales; Vitaceae. The record is from RNAcentral.
GGUUGUUUAUUCUUUCCAAAAGUGUUUUUCAGAGAACAUGGGUUUUAAUGAGGUUGUUGACUAAUUAAUUUCUCUGCAACAAUUCAUUGAUGCGGGUUCUUAAUCUGUGGUGCAGUCAGAAAUCUUCAAGAGAGUCUUCACCAACGACCACAGGUACUCCAACAGAUGAGCCGGGAGUAUCAGGGUCCGGAACCUAUGAGCAAGGAGUAUCAGGGUCCGGAACCUAUGAGCCAGGGGCAUCAGGGUCCGGAACAAUGGGAUCAAUGACAAUCGGCUCAGGGUCAGGCUCAGACUCUGGAGCAAUGCUGGCAGAUGGGUCAUGGUUAGCUGGUUUAGCCAUGGGAGACUCAGCCAGGGCUCACUCUCCAUCAUCAUUCGCUGCCUCUUUAGCUCUCUCUUUCCUCCUCUUCUCCUUUGUUUACUUGUAGCCCAUCGUUCUGUUAGCUUUCAUGGUUUUGGGUUUUCCAUGUGAAUUCAAUUACAUAUUUUGCAGCCUUAAUGGGCAUUGUGGGGGGUUUUGCCUUGUGUUUGGGAAAGAAGAAAGCUAACAAAUUACUCCAGACUGUGAACCACCCACUUCAAGAUUCCCCAGAAAUAUUCAAUGUUAACGUACAUACAUUAAAAAUAUUGUCCAGUUUUCAAAGUUCUGUCACUGUAGCCUUAAAGCAAGAAAUGGGGAUGUGGGGAUUGGGGGGUUUCAUCUUCUUUGGAUUCUUGAUUUGUAUACUACUGGUUUUGGGUUUUUUCCAGUAGACUCUGGCAAAAGGGUGAGUGAAUGAUGUGAAUGUGUGAGUAGGAUUGGUGAUGGGUGUGUGAGAAAUCAUCACUUUGCGGGCAUUGCAAGCUUGGCCCAGCUUUUUUUUUUUGUCUGUCCACCAUCGAGAUGCAUCUUUAAAUGGGCUCUUUCUCUUUGUUUUCAUAAUGGUAUGUGGGAUAUAAAGACAUGGAUAAUUAAGCUUUAUGUUGGAACUUUUGGCUGGACUUCUAAAAGAAAAUGACUUCAUCAUGUGGCCAACUAUGGCCAAAUGCAGUCUUGUCUUCCACAUACUACAACAUGGGAGAAUAAAGCCAAAGAUUAUGGAUCAUUUAUUCUUAGCUUCUUGAAGCAGGCUUGCUGAAUUUUUUUACAGAAACUAGUAUGAAUCCUUCUGGUUUUGUAAAAAUUAUGUCAUUGGAUGAUUUUACAUGUACAGCAAUGUUUAUGAAUAGGGGUAGAGUGAAAGAUUUCAACUUCCACCUCAAAAGUACUGAAGAAGACACUGGUCUUUUCACCUUUUCAGAAUUUGACCAAGCCCACCGGCCGUAAUCCAGGCGUAAUUGGAGGAGUGGCUGUCCCAAACUAAAACCUAGCUACUUUGGCUCAAGCCUAUUUUCUCAUUUUUCUUUUUGACUUCUAUAGUAAUACUUUAAUGCAACAUAUCAUCAGCCGUGAGAGUGAUUUUAAGAGGGUUAGAAGGGUUUUCUAAACUUGAAUUGGAGAGAGUAUAUCCAUGACUCGUAGGGCAGGGAUACAAUAAUUAAACACAUUAGAGAGGCCACGUCUUUUUAAAGGAUUUUGUCUCUUGUGCUUGGCCUUGAGCUCACUAUGGCAACAACCACAGAAGCUCCAAACAUGGUGAUAUAAUGCUGUUCAGCUAAUACUUGUCAGUUGGGCAAGAUAACAUAAUGAAAACUGCUGUAUAUUUCAGUCCUCCCCAACUCUCACAGCCAAACUUGUUCUUCAUGGGGGAAAAAUUGAAGGUAUUGCCCUUUUUUAGGUCACCAGUAGUUGGCAAAUCAAUAGGUCUACUAGUUGGUAUCAUGGAACAAUUGCAUCAUGGGCAAGUCGAUUUAUAUUCUGGGUCCUACACACUAUCCAUCUUCAUCAUACCUGUAAAGCCUUAUCAAGUUCUGCCAUUCAAAUUAAUUAUGUGGACAAAGUUCAAUAAAACAACGACUUUGUUGGAUGAUUUGGACAGCAUAAGGAAGUGGGAAUGGAGGUCAAGAGAAGGCAUAUUACAAUCCAUGUUCAAGGGAAAAAUAGAUGUGAAAGCUGAGUCUGCAUUGUGGUAGUUGAGGAAGAAGAAGUUAGGAUGAAGACUACGUGGAAUCAUUGUCAUCAUAAAAAGGUGAAGUGAAGAAUCAGACAUGUGAAAAACAAGCUACCUCGAUUAGAUUGAACAUGACCUGCUAUAGAAGAGAGUCUGAAAUCAUUUUCAUUGAUCCUUUAUUUGAUUAAGAAUUUCAAAAGAAAAUAUGGGGUUUGCUACUUCUUUAUAUAUGAAUAGAGUCCACCCAUGACCAUUACAAUAAGACCAGAAGGUAUGAAGAUGAAUUCCUUUUCUGCAUAGUCAAGGAGAAAGCAGUAAGCACAAGGGUUAUGGAGCUUUCCUAGGUAUCAUUAUGAAACAGAAGGAAGAAGUGUGGAAGGUGGGAUCACAGAGGGAACAGUGCAGUUAUGGAGUAGAGUCCCAUGCCUAGUCACAUGCCUUGGCCUAAUGUGGACACAAGAAGGGACAUCCCUAACAUUUUCCUCAUCUUCUAGUGCUUUGAGUUUUGGCAUAUGUUUAGGGACUCAUCCUUCAAUCUUAGCAUCCAAGGGUCAUUAAAUUCCCUUCCAACCACAUACAUCCCUAUCAAAACUGUUGAAUUUUGACUUAGUAUCUGCUGGAAUUUGAAUUUUGAAGUUUAAUAUUGCAGCUGGAGUCUUGCACAAAAUCUGCAACAUUCAAAUAUUUUCUUGUUUUUAUUUGGUCAAGAUUUGGUUUCUAUUUUAUACGAAGUAGUUGUUCAUCAUCCAAUAGCUUGAUUUUCUUCUAUUCUAAUGUCAUUUCAGUUACAAGCUCAUGUAUAAAUUCAGCACUCUUCAUCAAUAAAAUGUGUUCCAGCAACCCAAAAUACAUAUUCUGCAUAAGUGUUUAAAUCUUAGACCAACAAGGACAGUCACUUAAGGGCAAUGACCUUCUGAGUAGGGAAGUAUGAUGAGAUUGUGCUCUUUUUUCUCACUCCAUACUCCAUUUUCUGCGCUUGCACUAGUCCUUUCCUUUAUGCACGUUUCGGACUUUAGAUCCCUUCAUGAUGUAGGGGACCAUGAAUCCAAAUGCCCAAAUCCACAGCCGAAAAAUCGAAAGAAAUCGUAAGGAACAAUGAAAGAGAAGCAGAGUGAUACCAUGUCAUGGAAUUAGAAACACACUCUAGGACUAUUGCCAUAGUGGAGAGAUUGGAGCUUGGCAGCACGUAGAAUCCUCCAAAUUUCUUGCAAAAAUCUACAUAUUAUGUUUCUUGCUAAUAGAAAGAAAAAUUAAUCAGAGACUUCAAGCUACCUAAUCAUUUUCUCAUUGCUUGAAUGGGAUAAACAAACGUAUAUCAUGUGACUGAUGUAUUUUUUGUCAUUCUGCUAUAGUUCUGCCAUUGUUAGACCACAGUUAAAUCUAUAUGAGUUUAUAGUUGAAUGCUGAAGUGUCUGGUUUCAUCUCCUCUGCAUAGAGAGAAUGUUGAAUUUGCAGUUCUGUUGCCAUAUCUUACAGUAACCUGGUAUUCACCCAAGAAACCGAAAAAGCUAUACGAACCAUGGUCAUCAGUCUGACCCCCUAUCUCCCCAGUUUGCCAUUCUUUCAGGAUCUUGUCUACCACAUCACCAGCAGGGAGGUUAUGAAAAUUAUUAUCUGUUAGGCACAUUUGGUAACACCCAUAUGAAUGAAGUGCAGUCCACAGCAUUAUCCCAUUCACUGAAGGAUGUGAAAAGCCUUCUCUCAGUACUUGUUCUAGAUAUACAGCCUGUAAAGGAGACAAGGCAAGGGAAAAAAACUCAGCCCUUUGAGGGAAAUGAUGUUUGAAGAAAUGUUAAUGAAGGGUUUUUCUUGCUCACCUGUGUUUCCUUGCUAAGUGUAUUGCUGAUAUCUAUUUCUGUGAGCCAAAUGGGAAGCUGCAGAGUGGCCAACUUGUCUAGGAUAGCCCUGAUAAGAGGAGGGUUUGGUAUUGUGAAAUGGCCCUCAAGGCCAAUUCCACUCAUGGUUGCUCCACCCCUGCUGAGCUCUCUUAGCCUUGAAAUAUAUGCAUCCACUGUUGAAUUCACAUCACUGCAAGUCUCCACCACAUUAAAAUCAUUCAUGAAGAGGGUUGCUAGGGGGUCUGACUCGUGUGCAGUCUCAUAGAAAUGCAGGGUGGCAUCAGGGCCUAGCCGCUGCUCAUAGAAAUCAAAGUGAAGCAUUUCAUUACUAACAUCCCAAUGUACAAAUUCAUCUUUGUACUUGCUCAUUAGACUUUGAAUCCUGUUGUUGACAGCUGAUUGUAGGGCAGGGCCUGAAAGGUUCCGAACCCAUGCAGGCGUGUACUUGGGGUCCUCCCAGAAGAUAUUGUGCCCUCUAGCAACAAUCUGGUUUGCUCGGACGAAUUCCAACAUUUGGUCUGCUAAGGCAUAGGUGAUGUUCCCAGGAUCAGGCUCUGUUGCAUACCACUUGAGCUCAUUUUCAAACACUGCAGCAUUGAAUCGCUUCACGAACCAGUUCUGAAAAAUUGGAAGAAUUUGAAUUUUGUGUCUUUCUGCUUUCUAAGGUGCCAUCUUAAAGAUUUUGUGUAGACACUACCGACCUGAUAAGGCAAAUUCCCAAGAAUGGUCUUUGCUAUAGCAGAUCCAAAUGGGAAAUCCUUUGAGACUUGAUCUACUGUAAUUUCUGCUCCUUGCAGCCUCUCUCCCUGUGUGUUUGCUACAUGGAUUGUGACUGCACGUUUCCUUUCCUACAAGAAGUCAUUCAUUUUCUCAAUGAUCAAACAAGGGCCUAAGAGGGAAAGGGCUUCUAGUACUCACAGUGUUGAUUAUAUAUUGUUGAUUUGUGCUCCACUCCUGAUCGGUGAACGGCUGCAAAGAAGCACUUGUGAUUGCUAAAUCAACAGCUCUCUCAUCUGAAUUCUGCAAAACUGAAGAAUCAUCAGACAAAAACCUGGCCUUCUCAAUCUUUUCAAUUUCAUUUCUCUGUUUUCAUCUCAUUUUAUAACCUGAUUCUUCAUUAGUACCAGUAUCCAUCUGAUUCUUAAUAUCUUUAAUUACCUGAAAGAAGAGGAGAGAGUAAUCCAAGGGUUCAUCAAGAACGAACCCACCCUUUAGAAAAGACCAGCAUCCACGCCUAGCAGUAACCGUCCCUACACAGUUGAUUGUUUUUUUUUCUGACAUUAGGCUUGCCCUUAUAGGAGCUGAGUCUGCACCCUUUAUCUUCACCCAACCUGUUGACACCAAAUGUAGCAGAAAUGAAUCAACCCCACCAACUAUAUAAUGCCAUAAAGCCCUAGAAACAAUUUGCUUAAUGAUCUACUGUUCAAUUUUCUUACAUAAUCAUUUCAUUAUCCAAGUGAUCCCUAGAGAAAAGCCAUUUAGCUUUAGGCAAAAAGUUACUAAUUUCAAUGUAGAAAAGAGAAAAGAACUCAACUGGAGAAACAGUACUUGGUGCCAGUGGUGAGGUUGCGCAGGACGAAGGCGGGAGAAUAAACACCAUCAGCGAGCACACGUGGGAUAUCCCAGCGGGCGCCUUUGAGGAUCCCACCAUUGUAAAGAGGGCCCUCGGCCCGAGUUUUGCACUGCCAGAGGUAAGUGAAAAUGAUGAAUCAACACCCACAAACAACAUAAGACUCAUCGAAGAUGUGACCUCGUUAUAUACUAUUAUUACGUUAAUAAUACAGCUUCAAUGAUAUAAGAUGAAACAAUUCAAUAUGGGAAUGCCUGCUGUUUUUUGGUUGUCUCUUGCCUUAGAAAGCUGGAGAGAUAAACACAACAUCAACUGAAAAAUCUAUACAGCAAAUGCCCUGGUUUGGUGCUUACCUGAGUGUAGGCAGAAAAAUCAUAUAGAGGCCCAUCUGCAGUAUUGGACACCAAAUCAAAAAAUGAAAAAACCCCCAUCAACAUAAGAUACUGAAACCAAUGUGGGUGUGAAAGAGAGAGAUGGUACCAUAAGGAGCAGCUAAUGGAGGGUCUGCAAGGAAGAAGAGAAGCAGGAAGCAAAAGGGCAGACCAUACAUCAUGCUCUUGGUCUCUGCUCAGACCCUGAAGCUGCCAAAAACAUACAAAACCCUCAUAACUCUUUCAUGAAAUGAGGUAGGUUGCACAGAGAGAGAACGGGAGAGAGAGAGAGAGAGAGAGAGAGCUCACAAGGGAAAUAGUGCAGGUUCUGAGUAGCCCCGUGCCUUGCUCACAUGCAAGGCAGUAAGGGAGGCCUUCAUGUGAAUAUAAGCUGGGGUACAACUCAAAUCUCAUGCCUUUGAGUGUGGUGGCACUGGUAUAGAAGUUAAGGGAUUAGUCCUUGUUAACCUUUACUGAAAAUCAUCAAUGAUAUAAUUUAUUAUUGGCUCAGACCCCAUCAACGCAUCCGGCAACACUUUUAUUCCUUCAUUUGGCUUUAUUGAUCUCUUCUUAAGGACCAAUGUUUAGUCUGCCUUUUUGGUUUGAGGAGAGUCAAAAAAGGGUAAUUGCUUAAUGACAAGCCGUGUGGACCCUAGCAUUGUUCUCAAAAGUAAGCGUGGCACAACUUAUAAUUUUCUGUCAGUUCAUUCAAUGUUUUCUUUUUGUAGAUGAGCAACCAACCUAUUUAGAAGUCAUGGUUGAACUCCUUGCCAAUGGGUGAAAGAUUUCUCCUCUUUGCAUUCAUUACAAUUCUUAUUAUACAUGUGUUAUAAUGGGAAGAUAAGUCAUAAUAUCAUAUAGAAAAGAAGAAUCAAAAUCAUCGGCGAGAGUGAAUUUGGUUUCUAUAUUAAUGAAUUUUUUAUUCAUAUUUUCAUUCUGAAAAUCAAUCCAAACAUUAAUGAACGAUAAUUGAAUUGAUUUCUUAUUCAUAUUCUCUAAUUUAGCAUUUCAAACAAACCUCGAAGAAAUCGAUUUUGGUUUUUUCAUAAAGGAAUCAAACAUUUCUCAUGUUUUUAUGUAAUCUUCAUGCAUGUGUGAGAUCAAUUACUUAUACAUAGGAAAAAUGUGUAUGAUUCAAGUAAAAACAAAAAUGCCCAUCAAGCUUGAUAUUCAACUCCAACACUAGACAAACCAUAAUAACUUGCUUUUGGGUGAUCAUUGCAUAAUGACAAGCCUAAUUAUCAUUUCCACACUCUUUGGGCAAUUUCAAAAAAUUAGUGCCUUUUAAAUUGUUAAUCCAAUUAGAGAAAUAUAAUCCAAUUAGAGAAAUAUUGAAUAUUUGGUGCUAAUAAAUUAAUUUAUAAAAAGCAUGGGGAUUAAGAUGAAAUUAACUAUAAAAUUAGGUGUUUUUUAACAAAAAUAAAUCAUUGUAAUGAGUUUGAGAUCCAAAACUCUAUCAUGUGUAAGAAUUUUAAAAGCAGAGCCAUUUUGAAUUAUUAGUUAUUACCACUCAAAAAAACACCAAAAUAAGAUGAAGUUACAACCAAAUGUGAACAAAAGGUUUGGAUCUAGCAGAAGAGGAGAUGAACCAGAGAAGAAUGGUACAAAUUAAAAUUCGGUGAGAAUGGGAUUGAAGGCAGAGGAGAGGAGGGCCGACCCAUAAUUGAGGGAUUUGUCCUUCCUUGGUGGGGGUUUUUUGGAGGGUGGCCUUACAUGGGUCCCCAGAGAUUCAUAUAUUGGAUGCUACCUCUUGAGCAGUGACCCCACGAUGGGGUAAUUGAGCAGUCCUCCACUGUCUGUGGCAGUGGUCUCACGGCUGAAUUUGCACGCCAGGAUUAUAGCAAUGGACCAUUGGGUUCACACGCUCAAUCAAUGGUGAUGAUAUGUGGCAUAUUUUACUGCAGAAAAAUGUUAAAUUACUAUCCCCAAUUUCUAUAUUAUUUAGGGAACAUUGAAUAAAAAUUGAAAAAAUUGGAUUUAGUGUUGUAGGCCUGUAAGAUGAGCCCAACUACAUUAGACGGGCUAAACUAGAAGGUGGUCAUUCAAGGCUGUGGAAGAGACAAAAGGCCCAAGAUAGAAGAGAAGAAUAUCCAACUACAGCUGAGCCCAUUCCCAAAAGGGCCAGUGUAAGAGUAGACUACAAAAUCAACGGACCAUGCAGUGCAGAACUCAAACAACAAAGGAACAUUGAGCUCACGAAAUUUAAAAUAAAAAAAAAAAACAAAAAUUGCACAUAACUAUGACCAAAAAUACAACAAACAAUCAAUCAAUCCCCAUAGUACAAAUCUAGAAUGAAGAUCAAACCAUAUGGUACUUCAUGACCAAAUGGCAUGUUCAGCAACAUCAUGUAGAAAACCUACAUAAGGCAGCGCAUCUAGAACAAGUACCUGGCCAUAUGAUCUUUUUUGAUAAUAUGGGAAUGAUUUAUUUUUCAGAUUAGAACAUUUCUCUUGAGAAAUGCCCAUCAAGCUAUCGUUGUUCAACAUAAGAGUAUCACUGGGCAAAAGCCCGUCAAUCUUAUGUUUCUUCUCAUCUGGUCUCGUCCCGUCUCUUUGGGAUUGUGAGCAUUUAUCGGCUGUUGGAUGGGGCCGCUGGCUUCUUUGAUCUCUUGCUCGCGCGAAUCUUGGAGUAAACAUUCUUUGUUCUAAUUGCCAGUAGGACGUCUAAGCCAAACCCGAUAAUGCAUGAUAAGGCCAUUACCACGAACACCAGCCUGUAACAGUGGGGGCCUAUGCAUGUGGUGCCACCUCCUGCUGUGCGGGUAGCAUGGGCGUCAUACAACAAGCCAGCAAGCAGGCCGGAGAAGAGGAAGGAGCCAAGGGGGAGGUUGAGGAUUAGAAUGUUGUAGAUGAGACCAUAAUAUUUCAGGCCAAACAGUUCAGAAGCAAUGGGGACUGUGACAGCGAGACGAACUCCAUAGCAAAUCCCUACCACGACUGAACCAAUGUAUAGUGAGCCAGGCAAAGCCAUGGCCAUCACAACAUACCCAACUGCCAUCAGAAUCUGAGAAGCUGCAUUCCAGAAAGGUCUUGGUGUUCCAGCUUUUCUGCAAAUUUGAAACCGAGCAUAAGACUACUAAAUCAUUCUGCAUUGAGUACAGCUAUUAAAAAGUUUGUCCAAAGUCCUAGGAGUUAGCCAAGGGCAUAUGGCAGUUGAUUACAUGGUCUUGAGUAGAUAGAGUAUCUCCUAGUCCAGAAAAUCAAGCUUUGAAUCCAUCCAUCAUACAAUGGAAAUUAGUUAACCUACUUGCAUUUGCCGGUAUUUUAGGGGGAAACCUGUCGACUUAAGCCUAUACUAGGCAUUGACAACAACCCAACAAAGAUUGCAUUGGUAUGAACUCACAUUUUCUUGCCAAAGAAAAAGAAACAACCCACUUUGGGUGGACUCGACUGUCAAAUGGGACUCAUAUGUAUGGUCUUGAUCGAACUUUUACCAUGGAAUUAUGGAAUAAGAAGGCACGAAAUGUAGCCCUAGAACUAUUUUGGAUUCAGAUAGUGUGGUUAAGAAUGGACCAGGGUAACAUCCAAGAGGUGGGCAGAUUGUCAAUUUGGAAAUCGGGUGGGGGUAGGACCUGACCAAUUUGUUUGGGGUUCAUCCCUUCACCCUCCCAAAUGGACAAAUUUUGCCACAGCACUUUUCCUUUAGACUUAAAGCCAAAAGGGAUCCGAUGGUUAGGACUGCAAGCGAAGGCAUCACAUGAUCUUCACACAGACCAGUUAAACAACUUAAUUCUUUCAAUCAUCAUCAACCACUUACAUCAUGCUGUGGAUUGAUCAGGAACCUUUUAUGUUGAAAAGAACUUAGGAGCGUUUUUUCUGUUAGCCGAAACUUUUCAUUGAAAAGAACUUGGGCGAGUUUCUUUCUGUUAACCGAACACCUCAGAGACCUUUCUUUAAGAUUUUUUUCCCCUGAAAAAGGCCAGUUAACAGGAACAUGAAGAAAAUUGUUCUUGUUUUGUGUUAAAACAGCCUGCAACAGAAAUUCUGAAACUCUUUCACCGCUUCAAUUUUCAAAGUCCAAAAGCAGGUUUGAGGAAAAUGUGCUUGGAAGACAAAACCGAACGUGUCUCUAAUAAUUCAAAGUUGUACUGGGAUCCCACCAUGUGGGUACUUGUGGGACAAAGGGAUUAUUCACGAGUCCCUACCGAAAAGCAGAAGAAAAUUCCUAGAAACUCAAAACCUCCAAAAACAGGGAGACUCAGCUUGGAAUUAUGAGUCCCUGAUUGAAAUCGUACGAAUUCAAAGGACGGAGUACGGAUUUUCUAACCUUUCUCCUAACUGAAAGAGGGAGCACCCCACCAAGAUUAAGCUGUUAGGAUACUUUUCUCUCUUGAUCCCCCUCACUUUGACCCCUAAAAUAUCCACCCAUCACAAGGAAAAGAAAAAAAUUUCCAAGGGGGGACCCUAAGAUGGUGAUCACCAGAACAGUAUCGACCAGAAGUUAGGUCUUGGAGAGGGGUUGCAAACAACAGUCCAGCCACGAUGUUUCCUCCAUCCAAAAAGUCAAUAAUGAGCUAAACCGACCUACAAGGUAAACAAACAUUAAACAAUAAUGUACCACCACCCUCGCACUGUACUAACAAAAACCCAGAGGAAGUUUCUGUUCAAGACCCCAUUCCUGGAAUGUCUUCUUCAACUUUUGACAUGAACUUAAUGGAUUGGCAUCAAACCAGUACAAAAUUCAGAUAUGAAAUUGCCCUGCUCCUCUACUAAGACCAUUUGACUUCAACCUCAAAUUCCAAAACAGAGUGUUCAUAAUUAUGUUCUAAAACCCAAGAAUGGUUAGAAUAUUCCAUGGAACUAUAUGAACAAGUGCCACUAAAAAAUCAAAGCAGAAGUAUAAUAAGAUUCAUGGAUGAUUAUAAUUAGCAAGUAGGCAGUUGAAGUGGUAGUUAAAACUUACCCUAUGAAGUAUUCUGAAACUGAACCGGAUAAAAUUCGGCCGAAAAAUCCCCAAAUGCUUGUGAGGGAGACGAAAAUGGAGACAUCCACGUAGCCGAGAGCUAGACCCAUUUGUCCCAUGUUAUUCAUAACAGCCAAACCAGUGCCAACUCCACAGAGGAAGGAUGCAAAGAGUAUCCAGAAAUCAGUGGUGCUGAUUGCUUCAAUAAUUGUGUGAUCCUCCCCAAUUGACGGCCGGGGUCGUUUGAUUUCCACCACAGGCUCCACCUUUUCCUCCGAUGCCGGAGCCGCCAUUUCCGGCUGACUGUUUUGACUCAGGAGGGUUUCGGUGAUUAGACCCUCGAUGUCGGAACUGGGUUUUGAACCGGACCGGUUAAAAUCCUGUAGCAUGAAAUAGAGAGGGAUUGAGAGAGGGCAAGCCAGGAGGAAGAGCAGGACGACGGCGAAUGCCUGAGAGAGGAUGCGGCUAUGGGAGCCGGUGACGUCGAAGGUGAGGAGAUAGACGGCGAGGACGACGGCGACGAUGUUGAAGAGGUUGAAGAAUUUGGUCUCUUCCUUCUCGCCGGCUGCGGUGGACGACGAAGGGACCUCGCGGAGGAAGAGAAUAGCGGAGAGGCAGACAAGAAGGGGGAUGAUGGCGAGCAUGAGGAGGAAGAUGGCGGGGUCGUCGGCAAAGAGAGCAGUGCAGAGGUCAGUGAAAAUGGCGGUGCUCAGACCCACGUAACCCUUCAAUAUUCCGGAGACCGGACCUCGAUUCGUCCGGAAGUUUCGGAUGCAUGUCACCAGAACCGCCGUGUUCAUCCAUGUCGUACUGUUGCCUCCCAUGCAUAGAAAUAUACACAUCUGCAACACAUACUCAUCUCUCUAUUAGUAUUUCGAAAUCAUUUUUCUUGCUUUUUAAAGCAGAAACAUCAACCUAUCUAAUACUAAUUUUUAGCUUUAAAAGUCCAUCAGAAGGAAUUAUCAAAGCAAAGCUUGCUUUGCCUUGUCCAAACAAGGACUCAUCGAAGAACUUUCUUGCUUCUGAAAACAGAGUCUGAUUUCUGAAAGCAAAAAGCACUUCCAAAAUUCUAUCAACAAAAACCCAAAAUUCAUUUGAAAAGCUUCUGGUGUUUUCCCAAAUGCUUUAAAUGCACUUUCUCAAAAUGCCCACCUGCCAAUAGGGAAGCGGCUGGAUUUUCCGGCUGACGACCAGCCAUUGAACCCCAUACCCGACAAGCCCUUCAAUCGACCCAAUAAGAAGCAUCAUCGGAGUGGACAACCGGUCGGAGGCGAGACCGGAGAGGAGGCCAAACGCCUUGCCCACAUCCUUGGCAACAGAGAGGUUGUUGAGUUGCAACUGGGUGAGAGCCAUUAACGAUUUGAGAGCAUCUGAGUAGUUGGAAAAAGUGUAGUUGUUGCCGGAGAUGGACUGAACCCAAACGGCCGUCACAAACCCCAGCCAUUUUCUGGAGGAGGACGCUGGAGAUAGGUGGAAGCCCAUUGUUGCGGAUUCCUACAAUCUACCAGUCUCGCGGAGAAGGAGGUUGCAGAUGAUUGAAGGAGGAAGUUGAAUUGAACGGUCGGUGGCGUUGAAACGCAGCGUUUCGUAUUUAUGUUAGAUUUUGGGUGAAUGGAAUAUUCGAAUUUUGAUUGGUGACUGCAUCCUCCACCGCGACACAUAGAAUUUUUAUUUUUUUUCGUUUUGUUUUUUAGAAAAAAAUAAAAAAACAAAAUAAGUAAAUAAUAUAUCUGAAAAAAGGUUAGAAAAUGUACAAAUUCUUAAUUAAUAUAGAUUGUUCUUUCUAACAAAAAUAUUGUAUAAAAUAUUUUAUUAUAAUAUUAGAUUUCUUGCAAUAAAUACAAAUUAUUGAAAAUAUUUCUAUAAAUAUUAUAAAUUAUAAGAAAAAAAAAGAAGAUAAAAACGACUUUUAGAGAUUAUAAUAGAUAGAAUUGUGAGAAAUAUCGGCACAUGUAGUGAAAAGAUUUUCUUUCAUCAAUCAAAGUCAUGUUAAAUAUUUGAAAGAGUUGUAAGGAAAGCUGUUGAAAAUACGAGUAGAAAAGGUCUUGAGAUGAAGUUGUAGAGAAAAUAGAUAUAAAUAGAGAUGUGAGAAAUAACAGGAGAUGCCGAUGGAGUCGGACUCGUAGUUUAAGGUUUGAAUAUAAAUAAUCGGGAAACACGGGAUAUUUGAGAACUUAUAUAAUUUUAUCAUUUAUAAUUUUUUUAUAUAGCAUACUUAAAUAAGCCAUGUUAAAACCUUAUAUAUAUUUUUAUUUAAGUGAUCAAACUAUCACAUCAAUUUAAUGUUAAAAAAAAUUAUUAUAAAAAAUUAUCCUUAUUUGAUUAACCGAAUAAAUAGAAAGAUUUUUUUAGUUUUAAUAACUUUAAUUAUAUAAACCAAUAAUAAAAAGGAUAAUUAAAUAUUGAUUUUCCUAAUCAAUUUAAUAAUUUUUUAAAAUAAUCCCUUUUUAUAAGGUAGAUUGUAUUUAAUUUAAUAUAUAUAUAUUAUAUGAAAAUGAAUAUUAUGGAUUUUUGAAUUUUUAUAUUUGAAUAAAAUAUAUAAAAGUAGAACUUUGCUUAUAAAAAAUUAUUUCCUGCAAAUAAAAUAAAUAAUAAUAAUUGUAAUAUUACGGCAUUAUAAGGUUGCUGAGAAAGUUGGCGCCAGGUAUUCAAUAACUAGACGUUUCCUCCAUAUCAAUUUCUUCAAUCUUUUUCUCGAGAAAACUGUUUGCCGGGAAAACCGAAAGUAAAGGGCAGAGACUUUUCUUGGUGUAGCCGACAAGCCACCCAUUGGUUUUGAAAUGACGUUUUUCCGGCACGCGCAAACGCACCCCCACAAGUUUUGUAGUUGGUAUAUGGAACGGAAUUCAAUGGAAACGACACCCAUAUGUUUCGUAGUUUGCCCACCAAAUUAAACUGUCAUGUUUUACAAAUGUUUUUAAUAAUAAUAAUAAUAAUAUUAUGACCGACUCCCCUAAAAUCAAUUACUAUUAAAAAAAAGACACAUAUCGUAGUCUUAUAACGUAUUCAUCCAAGCAUCUAUGUCGAAUACUAGGGAAGUUGAUGGACACAGCUCUGAUACCAUUUAUAGAACUUCAGAUGCUAUCAACUCUCUUAAAAGCAAUUGCUGUUAGAAAAUGAACAUACCCUAAGUAUUUAUCAAAAUUUUCACAACGAACACAAAGAGAGUUGAUGGGAUAUGGUCAACCUUACGUGAACAAUUAUUAUUAUUAUUAUUAUUAUUUCAACUAAGAAAUCAAUAUUUUGAAUAUGGAAAGAAUUAUUAUAGUUUUAUGGAAGUGUUAAAAAAAAAAGACACUAUAAAAUAGACUCACCUUUGAACUCUUAAAAAAAUGAAAGGAAAAAGACAAUAAUUAGUAUCAUAUUUGGUUUAAUUUUCUUUCUCGAGUUUGUUUUUAAAAGUUUUAAGGGGAAAAAAUAAUUAAACAAGUUAAGAAAAGAUAAAUAAAUAAAUUUAAAUUUGAUAAAUUAUAUUUAUAUGUUUUUUAAAACUUUUUAAACUUUUAUAUAUAUAUAUAUAUAUAUAUAAAUUAAAUGAUUUAAAAAUAUACAAACUUCUAAAUAAUUUAAAAUGUAUAUUUUAUGAUAAACUAAACAAAAACGCUUUCUUAAUGCACUUGAACAAUCAAACAAGAGUAAUUUUUUGAAAUUUUUUUCUUGAAGAACCAAAUAUAGUUGUAAACUUAUUAUAAGUGAUAUUUUAGAUUUAAAAAAUUGUUUCUUAAAUUUUAUCAAACACCCUUUAAAUAAAAAAAUAUUUUUAGAUUAAAAAUAUUUUUUAAAAUCAAUAUCAAAUAGACUUUUAAUAAUAUAAUUUUCUAAAAUAAAAUCAUAUUAACAAAAUAAUUAUAAUUGAGUUUUAAGUAAAAGAUGAGUUCAUUGUAUAAAAAAAAAAAUCAUAUUUUCAAAAGAUGAAUUCAACAUACAAACUUUUAGGUUGUAAAGUGAAUUCGUCUUUUUAAAAGACGAAUUAGUAUCAUAAAUUUAGUAUCAUAUUUUGUAUUUAUUUUUUAAAUAAUUAUUUUUUAAUAAUAUUUAAAAAAAAAAAAAAAAAAAAAAGGCCCCAUGCUAAAUAGCCAAAAUUGAAUUUUGUCCAUUUUUGAUACCCUGUGAUUUGGUGUUUUACAUAUAAAUGCGUGUCCUUGAUAGAUAACCACUUGGUCUUAUCUCUAUCGCCAACUUUUCUUGACCAAACACGUCCUCUUUCUCACCAGACCCAUCGCCCAUCAUGGUCUCCAUCGAAAUUUAAUCUUGAGCUUAAGGUCUCUCACCAGACCCAUCAUGGUCUCCAUCAAAAUUUAAUCUUGAUCUUGAGGGCUCAACCUCUUGAGAGUGAUACGAAAGUGCUCUGAUUUUCCGGGAAUCCAAUCACCAAAUUGGAAAAAAUUUCUGGGUUAUGGCGGGGUUGAAGGCAACUUAUCAAAGCUCCUAGCGGGUGGGCCUGGACAGGAAGAUGUCCCAUUCAGAAUGUCCUGUUCGAUUGCUUAUCAACAUCUCAAUAUCCAGAAGUAUCUAUCAAUAUGUACGGCUUUUGUCUUGGAUUUGAUUUAGAGGAGACAGGGUGAUCUCUUUCCUGUGGGUGGUGGGCCUUUGUUUUUAUUUUUUUGUAAGUCUUGGAAAAUGAGGAUUUAUAUCUGCUAUGAUUUUUUGAUGGGUAAAAAAUAAAAAUUACUUAAUAUAAGAGCUUUAAUAAUUCAACAUUAAUUCAUUUUCUAAACUCAAGUGCAUUAACUAAGCUUAGAUUAUCGAGAAUAUACAAAUUCACCUCACCUAAAUUCAUCUCAUCUCAAAAUGAAGAUCAUGAAAAGAGACGACCUCCAAACUUACAUAUUAACCUAAUUGAUCGAUCUACAACUAAAAAGUAAUAUUCAACUACCCUUGUCCUCACAUGAUUGAAGGUGAAUAAAAAAUUUGCAUCAACAACAAAUAAAUGAUUUAUAUAAAGCCCUUAUCGUGAAGUAUGAAGUAAUUUUAUAACUCUUGCUUCUAAUCACUUGGAUAAGAGCAUUAACAAUUCAACAUCAAUUCAUUUUUUAAACUUAAGUGCAUUAAUUAAGUUUAGAUUAAUGAGAGUACACAAAUUCAUCUCACCGCAAAAUAAGGAUCAUGAAGAGAGACGACCUCCAAACUUACAUAUUGACCUAAAAUUGCUCUUGUCCUUACAUGCCCAAAGUUUUAUCAGAAAGAUUGCAACAACAACAGAGCAGUAGCUUAGAUAAAGCCCUCGUUAUGAAGGAAUGAAUUGCUCCAUAACUCUUACAAUCACUUAAAAAUUUGUGUAAAAUUUCUCAUAGAGGUUCUUCCUUUGUAGGAAAUUCCUCUUUGAAGUUAAGAGGGAACCAAGAAGAGGUAGAAUAAAAUUUCAGAAGAAUUUUGGCUUCUUCGAUUCGUGUUUUGGGAUGUUUUUGUUUUGAGUCUUAUGAGAAAACAUGUGGAGAAAAAAAGUGAUAAGCACUGAGUCAGAGUGGGCAACAAUCGAGGCAUGGAUUUGGCCCGGGCCGAAUGAAGACAUAAACAGCUCAGCUGAGAGCCUGAGAGCUGCAUGUGCUUUUGAAUGUGUCUGAUAGUGUGAUUUUUGGCACGCUCUUCAGCUAUUCAGAUUUCAGCCUGAUGCUAGUGUCAUUGAGGUACGGGUUGGCUCAAAAUUGUAUAAUAUAAUUGCCUUUUUGAUGGACUUCAAUGAUUGCACUACUAAACUUAGGUGUGGUUGUAGUAAAUUUUUUUAAGUAGUUUUUAAAAAUUUUAAAAUACUUUUUAAAACAAUAAAUUGAUUUUAGAAGAAAAAUAUUUUAGUCUAUCUUACAAAAUGGUAUCAGGCUUAUGCAUAAUAAAUUCCUCUAGAUUUAAUUAGAUUAUGUUUAUUAACUUUUUUUUUAUAAAAAAAAUAGGAUUUUCUUUAUAAAAAAAAAAACACAUUUAGUAACUAGUAAAUAAAAAUAGUAUUUUAUUCUUAUGUUUUCAAAAGAAUUUAUUUUUUAUUUUUAGUUGUUUUCACUUAUUUUUUAAAAUAAUUAUACAAUUUUUAAAAAUAAUUUAAAAUAGAGCAUUAAGUAUAAAAGUUAUUUUCUAAAAUACAUUUAAAAACAUAAAAAAAUAUAAUGAAAAUAUUUCAAAUUCCUAAAUAGACUUUUGUUUUAUAAAAUAUUAAAGAAUAAUUUUCAAAAACUGUAGUUGAAGACAAUCAACAAAAACAUCUUAAAAUUAUUUUAAAUGUAUUUUCAUAUAUCACACUAUUUUCAUAACAAAUUUUUAAAAACCUAUUUUUAUUUCAAAAUUUAUCAAAUGUGUUUUUGAAAUCAUAAAAAAUGAACAACAAAACAAUAUUUGUAAAAAUAAGUUGAUAAACAUGCCAUCAACACCAACAAGGAAAAAGGAAUAUUAAUUAUAUUCAUACAAAUCAUAUCAACAUUUUUUAAAAUAUUAAUAAUAUUUAAAAUAACAUUAAUCCUAUAUCCCACUUGCCCACUAAUUAAUGUCUGCACUUAUGUAAUCUUGAGGAUUAUUCAAGUGGGUAUUCAUAUUAAACAUCAAACCCAUGUGUCAAAGACAUUGUUAAUUGGGAAAAUUAGAUAUUUUCCCUUUAAUAUAAUGACAUUAAUGAGAAAGAGUCACGAAACAGAUCAUUCUUUUAGACUAUGGGCGCACUCAGGUAUGUCUGCAUCCCACUGUCGGCCCAACUUCUUUUUUCACAAUGAAAAUGACCCCCCAAAAAAAUCAACGGUCGGAAAUUAUUUUUGGUGUUUGUUUGGUAGGUGGAAGUCAAUUGCUUUGAUUUACUCUCAAACCUGACGGUGGUUUGCUUUGAACAACUUUGUAUUCAAUUGACUACGAUUUUAAGAAUAGUUGUUAAAAAACAUUUUUUUUGUUUUAGGAAACAACAACUUAUUAUAUUUGAAAUGAGGUUGUUUUUGAAAGUAACAUGUUUUAAAAAUAGUUUUAAAUAAUAAAAAGUUGUCAUUGAAAGCUAUUUUUUGAUAUAUAAAAAAAAAAAAAAAAUUUUAAGAACAUUUUUUAUGCAUUUCCUUUACCCGAAUGACUAUUGAUUUUUGUCUGUUUCGAAAAAUGUUUAUGCGCUUAGAUUUGGUUUAAUUGCUUGUAACUAUGGGAGAAUAUGAAAUUUUGGUGGUGUCAAAAUAGUUAAAUAAGUUGAUUUAAUAAUUUAAUUUAUAUUAUUAAAUAGGUUUGAUAAAAUAUUUUCAUAUUACAACUCUAAGUUAAAAAAUGAUUUAAAAUAAUGAUAAAAAUAAUUCAUCUCAAAUACAAAAAAUUAGGAUUUUCGAUAUUCAUAUUAAACAAAAUAUUUAUUUAUUCUUAUCACAUAUAGAUUAAAUAAAAAUAAAUUUAUCCUAUGUGGACCCCGUAUUUCUACACAUGCGUUUUAACUCGAUGACGAACUUGCUAAUGAUUUGGAAUUGAAACGAGAUGAAAGUCCCUGGAAGGGAAAUCACUGGGCCGGAGGAUCAAAACUGGGCUUAGGCCUCCAAAGUUGUCUAGCCCAAAAUUACAUUUUGAUCUGGUACUUCAAAGAGUAGAAUAAUCCAUCCACAAAUCUGACUUCCAGCCAUCAAAUCUAAUGACUUUUUAAAAUUUCCAGAGAUCCUGAGAUUAAUGGCUCUGCAAACACUGCAACCAACAACUACUGACAGUGGCGUUUCGGAUGGGGUGUAGAGAGUGAGGGAUCCUUGUUGAUGGUUGAUCGGAGAGCAGGCGGCGAAGGAUGCGUCGAGAAAUUUCGAUUUUGCUUCAGCCACGAUGGAUUCUUCCCAUUCUCAUCGCCACUAUUUUACUCAUUCUUUUCCUGUCCGUUUACCCUAGGGUAAUUUUCUGACAACCCAUUCUGUUUGGAUGCUGAGAAAAGGUCCGAAAAAUGGAGACCCACUGCGAUUUUUGGGUUUUUGUUUUUGGGAUCUUUUCCCAGAAAGCUAUAGAUUGUUUCGGUUAUGCUGAAUUGGUGUGUUUUUUUUCGCUUUUUUAAGUAUUGGAAAAGUCAAGAUUCGGAAAUUUGGUUGCUUUUAUUUUCCUCCCCAAUUUUCUCAGCAGCUAGAGGGUUCAUGUUUGCGUGUGUGUUCUUUUCUUUUUUGCUUUUGGUAUGGUGGGUAGAUUUGGUGAAGUAAUUUGGGGUUGUGGUUGACUUGGGAUUUGAUUUUUCCAAUGUGGCGAUUUAUUAAUGAUUUUGCGGUCUCAAAUAAUGGAAAAUCUAAAAUGUGGAGCUUUAUUUUCCUGCAUUUCUCAGCAACCAAAUGGGGUGUAGAUAUAUGUUUCUGUGAAAUGGUUUGUUCUUCUUGUUCAUUUAGGGAGGUGCGCAUUUUCUUCUUCUUUUUAUUGUGGUUGUAAAUUUGAUGAAGAAUCGUGGGAAUUCUGAAGUGAUUUGGGUUUCUCUCUUUAGAUUUGGUUUUCUAAAUAUAGGAAUGGAUGUUGCGUGGAUCAGAUUUGUCACUUUGUGAUGGGAGUUUGGCUGAUAGUGACAGUAUCUGAUUUUGUGUGGGCUAUUGGGGACUUUAAGGGAUUAUGUGGAUUUUGUUUUAUGCUAGUGAAUGCUCUGAUCCGGGUUCAACAAUAAAACUAGAAUCUAUGACUCUAUGAGAUUCUCUAGGAAAUCAUCAUUACAACUUUAAAAGAUGACAACCAAUUAUGUUUCAUUAUUAUUGUUGUCACAGAUGGUUGCUCUGUAAGUUUUAAGUUAAGAAGAUGCUAUUGAUAAGGUACAAGUGAGGAAAGAUGGCUUGUUAUAUUUGAAGUUGUUUUUUUAUUCAUCUAGUAUUACGUGUUUAAGGAGAUGACUUAUAGAAUUGUGGAGUGCCUUUUAGGGAGAGAUGUGAUUGAUUUACCAUGUUUCUAAAUUGUUUUGUUACAAUAAUGUGCCUUCUGACACAAAAACGGGUACUGGAACUCUCAGCAUUGCAUGCAAGAUAUUAUAAGAUAUGUUUGUUUGAGUUUCAUGUUGAUGGAAUACACAAUUUGCUCAGUAAAUAGCUAGAAAAAUUAAUUAGAUGAGGAAAAGAUGUCAAGUAGUUGGUUUAAGGUGGAAAAGAUCAGUCGGAGAUUAUGAGCUAUCGAGUUUGUUUGGGAUAAGUAACAUUCAGAGUGCUUUAAUGGGGAUGGGUCUUGGUAAGUUUGUUUUGGAACUUCUGUUGCUACUGAGGUGAGCAAUUGUGAUCAGUAUAAUACAAGCAAAGUGAGUAUCAAGGACACUAACCCUCAAAGAACAUUGAUUAAAAUCUCAUGCUGGAGAUGGACGAUGGCUUUGGUGAUUUUUCUUCCAAUCUGGAGUUAAGUACAGUCAUGGUUGUUUGCACUUUCCUAAGAUUUGAUGAGUAUUGAAUUCUCUGAGGCAGGUAUUUGGAGGUCAUUGGGUGGAAAGCGGUUACUGAGUUAUAGUCUUCUACCACUUUUGAUGUAGCAACUCAUGUUGAAAUCCCAACCCUAGUUGAUCAGAAAAUGUUAUCACAAAAUUUGUCCAGAAGGUCAAAUUCAGUCUGCUAUGAAACAACGUAUUUGGAUUUUAGUUGAGUAAUGCAGGAGAAGUCAAGCAUAUGGAUGUAGUCUUUUAUGGGUUAAUUGUGAAUGUCUUGUUUGAUUAUGAUUUUAGUUUCUAUUUUCUUCAUGGUUUGUUACUUUCUCUGCAAAACCAUGGUUUUCAUCGACUUUUGGACUGAAAAUUAGUUAGAUUUGGUGUUUUAGCGUUUUAACUUUCAGAAACUGGAUUAGAGCUGCUUGCAUGGCUUUGAGAAAUAUACUCAAUAUUGAAGAAAUUUAUUUGUAUUUGUCUUUUCACUUGGUGAUGGUUCAGAGGGUUGGGAGCUUGUGGAUUGCUUUUAUUUGGUUUUAUAUAGUAGCUUCUGGUGAUGUAUGUGCAUCAUGAAAAACAUAAUGAAGUUCAUUUUUCACACAUAAUCAUGGCAGUGGCUGUUCGAUUUUUCCUCUUCAUAAAAGCGUUUUAGGAUCAUGAGUUGCCUCCUUUCAAAGAAAAGAGGUUUUAGUUCUUGUUCUAUGAUUUCUUUUUCUGAUAAUUACAUUGAUCUACAUUUUUUCCUUUUUAUUUGGUUGGUGUAACGUCUGAUGACUAAAUCUCCAUGUUUGAGAUUCUUGUUCUUAAUCUGACUGCAAUUUUUUGGUGAUAAUACUCCCAUAAAGAUGCAUCUUUCCUUUUUAUCAAUUACCUGCAAUUGUAUUGAUUUACUUACUCAAAUUUGAUGCUAGGGGGAAGAGACGGCAGAAGAGGUGCCUGAAAUUACUCACAGAGUGUUCUUGGAUAUCGAUAUUGAUGAACAACAUAUAGGUACAGAUUCACACCUAAUAGCAUUGAAUAAAUUGUGCAGUUAAUAAACUUGUUGAAGAAGGUUUUUUUCCUCUGAUUUUCAUAUAAACUUGGCCAUAGUUUCUCAAAUCUAUAUCUUCUCUGGUCAAUUUGAAGAAAACUUUGAGUUUUUUUGCAUCCAAUUGGAUGAUAUCUCCUUGAACAGUCAGUAGUUGACCUUGAACCUAGUCUCUCUCUCUUUCUUUUUUUCUUCAUACAGUUUAAUUUCUUUUGUUUUUUCCCCUCUAUUUUGGUAUGCAGCCUCAUUUAUGGCAUUAUUUGCAAGGAUUUCAUAAAAUUUCUGCUUUUCAGCAAUUUGAUCCCACCUAUAAUAGUUAUUGUGGUACUUGGGUCAACCUACUGACUUGUUCACAAGAGAGCUACAUAGCAUUCUGUUUGGUAGAGAUCCAAGGCCACAGUUUAUUUCAAGAUCACUCGGUGCUGUGGAGUAUUUAACUCAUUUUAAGGCAUCUACAUAGAAUAGUAAAAAAUUCAGAAGCAUUAUGGAUACUCCUUGACAAAGUUGAAAUUGUACUCCCCAUCUUUCUUUGUCAGCACACCUGUUGGUUAUAUAUCCAAUAGGAUGCAACCUGUGUCUUAUACAUAUAACUAUCAUGCAUCAUGUUAACAAAUGCAAUUUGCUCAUUUUGAUGUGUCUUUGUACAUGGCUAGUAUUUGAAAGUUGUGUGUUCUUUCUCCCUUUCCUUUUGUGUUCCCUUUCCUUACUUCAUCUUAUCAUUUCAAUUUUAGUUAGUCCAGGUUUGGAGUCACGUUUUCUAUCCUUCAAUGGUUGAUUUAGUAAUGGGUCUGUGGGUGGGUGGACUAGGGCUGUUCAAUGUUAUUUAUUACCAGAUAGUCCUUUUUCCAAUUUUGACCCACUUAAUUACUUUUUAUUCCAUUGAUGAAUAUAUAAUGUUCCUAUAUUUCAUCUGUUUUUUCCCUAUUUGUUAUUGAUUUUUAAUUUUACACCUGAGUUUCUGCAGGUAGAAUAGUUAUUGGUCUGUAUGGCAAUGUUGUACCAAAAACUGCUGGUAUGUGUUUGAUCUUCUUUAUGAAUACUUUAAUGUCAGGAUCCUGAAACUAGGUCAUCUAUUUCAAAAUGUAUAUUCGUUUUUCUCUUAAUAAUGGUUGUAAUCUAUUACUUCUUAACUGGUGCUUCAAGUUGAUUCUUAUUAUUCAAAUAAUAUUAGGUGUACAUUUACUGUCUUAAACAAAUUAUGUUUACAUAAUUAUAUCUUGAGUCUCAAUUGCUUUUGAAAACAUUGUGCUUGUUUUUAAACAAACACCCAAAAUUGGGAGAAAACCUUUGUUCAUUCUAUUUAAACUUUUCUUUAUGUUGCACACUGAAUGUGCCCAUUGACCAUGACUGCCUUUUUUUUUUUUGUCAAUAUUUGAUUUCUUCUUUGAAGCUGUAUAAUUACUGAUUGACAUCUUGUGCUGAGAAAAAUUUGAAUUUCAGAUGAUGCUUAAUAGUCUAUUUCUUCAUAAAGAAUUGUUGGUAUUUGUUUGAUUUAUUCACGUGUCUCAUAUUUGCCUAAUGCUUGAGUUUUUUGUUAGCAGAAAACUUCCGGGCUUUGUGCACAGGUACUUUUAGACCAUUCUUCUCAACAAUUUCUUAUGUUUCUUGAAUGUUUAGAAAUCUCAUACUAUUGAAGGAGGCAGAUUUUAUUAUUAAUAUGCUGGUAAUGACCUUGUUAUUUCAAUGCAGGGGAGAAGGGCAAAGGUGCCAGUGGAAAAAAGCUUCAUUAUAAGGGGACACCAUUUCAUCGUAUAAUAUCCGGAUUCAUGAUCCAGGGUGGAGAUACUGUCCAUGGCGAUGGGAGAGGGAGUGAGUCUAUAUAUGGUGGCACAUUUCGAGAUGAGAAUUUCAGGAUAAAACAUUCACAUGCAGGUUCUCUAUUACAUCUCUUUAUUUGGUUGAUUUUUUCUUCUGGUUUCUUGUAUACUCCCUAGACAAAUUCUCUUUAAAAGUUUUCAUAGGGAUUCAAAAUUUUCAAGAUUGAGUUUGUUCCUUUCUCCCUUCCUCUUUGUGAAACCAUAUAUUGCUUGGUUGUAGGUGUUGUUUCCAUGGUGAAUUCAGGACCUGAUUCUAAUGGCUCUCAGUUUUUCAUCACCACAGUCAAGGCUAGCUGGUAAGCUACUCCAUAGAAUCACCAAAACACUGGAAAAUUUUAGCCAUUAUAAUGGCGGCCUGAGCUGGAAGAUGAUUUCCUAAGAAACACAACCUACUCUAUCUUCCAAGUAAUGAGUCCUUUCAUUAAGCAUUUUUUUAUUAAGCAUCCAUCCUGAGCCAUCCACUCUCACUGUGAUAAUACUGAUGCAAUCAGAUCAAUCUGAUUACAGUGAGGUGUGUGAUUUGCUACUGACCAUGAUGCAUAAGAUAUACUCUGCUAGAGCUAAAAUGUCUUUAAAACCUGAAUCUAAUUAUAAAUUACUCUGUGUCUAUAAGUGCCCUAAUUCCAAGGAGUCUGUCUACAAAGCUAAGGAUAAUUGCCAAACAUUUUGUGGGUGUUGCAUUACCUCCAUAUUUUAGUCACACAUGAACAUGCCAAUCAUUGACCUGGAUUGACAUUCUCCUUAGUGUGAGGCUAAUUUCAGAUCUGAUCAUGCUGCACUAUUGAUAUAAAUGUUUUGGGGUCUGAAAAUCGAUGCUUUGGGUCAAUACAUGUUGCUCCAUGCUCUAGAUAUGAAACUUCUGCGUACAAGUUAAUGAUCUACAUGUAGAUGUUCCUUACCAGUAAAAGAAUAUCCAUUUAAAACUUGGCAGGUUGGAUGGGGAGCAUGUUGUAUUGGGCAAGGUUAUUCAAGGCAUGGACAUUGUCUACACAAUAGAAGGUGGAGCUGGAACCUACAAUGGAAAACCCAGGAAGAAGGUCGUUAUCUCAGACUCGGGCGAGAUACCCAAGAGCGAUUGGGAAGAAGAAAGCUGAUGCUCAUCAAAUGCUCUCUUGGGUCUGCAAUAGAUCAAGUUUUCAGAAUUUUUGGUGAUUAUUUUGCAUUUUGUUCCUCUGUAUCAUGUUGAUGAAACAAUGCUGAUCAUCAUUUAUUGUGAUCAUGAACUCAGGGAUCAGUGUCUUAGACAUUUUGUAUAUAUGUGUAUUUUUUUAAAAAAUUUUGAUUGUGACUAACAAUGUAGAGGAAUGAAAGAAAAUGAUUCUAUUUUGGAAGCAAUUGUGUGAGGACAAAAGCUAGAGGGAAUGUAGAAGUUUUGGACAUGGUUUUCUUUUAUGGACCUACAUGGAAAACUUUGAGCUUUUGAGAUUUUUUCUUGGAGUGGGGCUGGCUUAUGUAUUACCUCCUUUUGCAUCACUCAGCUUUGUCUAUGUGAUGAUUCUAUACAUCCUAUGUAUAUGGGUUGUGCUCUUUUUGGGUCUUUCAUAUUGAAAGUCUUGAAGGAUUUUUGUUAGUAGCAUUUUCAUUGAAAAUUUGUUUUUGGUAAUGUAAUAUGUAAUAAAUAUACUAAAUGUGAAUAAGAAUGAAGAUAGAUUUUUAAGUGAGAAGUCAUGUUUGGAUUUUGGAAAAAUCAAAGGGAAAUGUAAAAGGAAAAUUAUAAAGACUAAAAAGGAAGUGAAGGAAAAUAAAAAAAAGGAAAAUUAAAAUAUUAUUUUUAUAUUUUAAAAUACCCAUUUCAUUUUUUUUCUCUCUUUUAUAUGAAGAUAAAAUAAUUUAUUUAGUAAAUAAAUAAUAAUAUUUUUUUUCCUUGAAAAGAAAGGUGAGUAUUUACUAUUUCUACCACGUGAUUGUAAAAAAUGGUGGUGGUGUGAGGCAUUGGGCUGGGCUUAGAGACAAUUAUUUAAAUUAACAAUGUGGCCCAUUGGGCUGGCAUGCUGAGGUGGCAGAUUGAAACAAGAAAAAAAAUAUACAGAAAGAAAAUGGAAGCCGAGAGCAUCUCAAUUAUUCUAACCCCCAUCUGCAGCUCGGGCAACACAGUCAACCAAUGAUUCGAUCACAACCACCGCCACCACCAUCUCCGCCACUGCGGCCCCAGAAUCCCCUUUUGUUUCUUCUCUAAACCCACCUUUUUCUCCCCUCGCUCUUCCUUUCUCUCUCUAGGAUGGGUAGCUCUGAAGAACCCGACAGGACUAGUCUCCUCCAUGACUCUUCAUCUCCGACUCACCCUCUCCUCUCCAAAUCCUACCCUUCACCCUCAAUUUCAGAACCUCAGCCUGAAUCCUCCGAACCUGACCAGACCCAGUUCCUCCAGAUCUCCUACAAUUACGGGCCUAGACCCUUCAAGGACCUCCCCUUUCUCAUCCUCUUUCUGGUCGUCGUUCUCUGCACUUUCGGCUUUGGCAUCUUCGCAGUUGUGAAUCGGAACCCCAAUUCUUCCAGCGUUUCUUCUUAUUCUUAUGACUCCAGUUCCACUUCUUGUGUCAAGAACUCCACUGCCUCGCUGAAGCAACAACCCAUUUCGGAUUACUUGAAACUUUCGUCGAGUUCGCAUUUCUUGAAGGAUUUGAUAUGGACCCUUGUAGUUACUUUGAUUUUGAGCAUACCCUUUUCUUGGCUUCUUCUUUUGUCGCUCAAGAAUUACACCAAACAAGUGGUCUACGCCUCGCUUCCCUUCUUUGUUGUGAUGCCCAUUUUCUUUGAUGUGUAUUGGUUUGUGGCUUGUACUGUUAGCUCGAGUUGCAGCGAGGCGUUUCCUUUGGUGUAUAGGAUUUUGUUGCUUGUGUUUGUGUUUUUGUUUAUUGGGGUGAUCGUGUGGAUAAUUGUGGCCAACUGGCAUAGAAUUGAAUUGACUGUGGAUAUAAUUGGGAUUGCCUCCCAUUCGCUAUCGAGGAAUUUGGGGCUGUUUGUGGUUCUUCCAUGUUUGACUUUCAGUUUGGUGAUUUACUAUGCUCCGAUAGUUGUGUUUUUGGUGUUUGCGAGGUUGAAUGGGAAGAUUGUGCCGCGGGAAUCCAGUGGAGAGUAUUAUUGUGUUUGGAAGCAGGAUAGUUGGGUGCCUGCAUAUUAUACAUUGGCAAUUCUAACAAUGUUGUGGUCUGCAACAGCUAUGGUGGAGCUGCAGGUUUAUGUGAUUAGUGGGACUAUUGCACAGUGGUACUUUGCAAAGGAUCACGAUUCCACCCCAAAGAGGAGUAUAAGAAGUUCUUUGAGGUGAUUUACAGUUUUUUUUUUUUUUUUUAUUUGUGUAAUUUAUCCAUAUUUUAUAUGCAGUUUUUGUAAACCUUGGAAGAAACUUGUGAUCAUUCUUGCAUGCAGUAUUUAUUUAUGACUAGUUUCAAGGAUUCAAAAGCAUGUUUAAAGUAUAAAUAUUGAAUGUGUAUGUGUGUUUUUAGGAAGUUAAACAUUGAUACCAUAUGAAUUUUAAGGAGAUUAAAUGAAUUCUCAUUAUUGAUUCUCCUGAUUUUUGUGUUGUCACUCUUUGUUUGAUGAAUUGAAAAUUCAUGUCUUAUAGGUUAGUUUUUUAUAGGGUCGUGUUCUAACAGAGGAGGAAGUGAGGUUGUGUCAAGAAGAUUCAUGGAAACAACUAGGUCAAGUUAGAAGUAUGGAGUGAGAAUUCAUUUUUAAAGGAGUUUAAGAGAACGAGAACAAGAGAAAAAUUAGAUGAAUAUAACUUUUGUGGAACUAGGAGAACCAACAUAGGCAUAGUAAAGAUUGUGGGGUAGAAUUCACCUUAUGGUGAAGAUGAUAGGAAGAAUUGAAUUAGAAAUGAAUGUUCUCAUGAAUAGUUUGAGAUUUCACCAACUGUUUAGAGAUGAUUGAGAGUUUGUUUGAGAUGGAUUGAACAAUAUAAAGAAAGGUCAAUAAUUGCAUUAGUUUGGGUUGCUAUUGUUUAAGUUACAGGCACUAAAAGGACAAGAGAAGAGCAAAAAUAAUUUGGGCUGAGGUUGUGAUGCCGUAUGAUUACUAGAAGACAUGACUCUAGAUAGAGUGGAGUGAGGAGAAUGGGCUGAGGAAACUGGUUCAAAGCUUUAAUGGGUUGAAAACAUAUAGGAUCGUUUGGGAAAUCCUAUACCCUCUGAAGUAGAGGGUGAGGUGUAUGAAUGAAUAGGGUAGAAUGAUUGUUGGCUUCUAGAAUUUAGGUCAUUUCCUUUGUUUUUUAAUGGUUAUGUCUAUGUCCCCAUGAUAAGGGAUGGGGAAAUUGCAUGAAGCUUGGAAAGUUUAGAGUUCUAUCUUAGCUUUAUGCUGGUUGGAUUUAAUGCACAAUUUUUUGGAGCAUAUAUUGAAGGGUUUGGUCAUGGUAUGAUGAGUUGGCCAUUUGAUUCAUUCACCUAGUAUUGGGGAUUUUCUUUAUCAUAUGAUCUUUUCCGUUGCAGUGGGCAGCUUUGACUUGCAGGCAUCGAAUUGUGGAUGUUAGUAGCGCUUCAGCAAACCCUGCCCAAUAUUCACCCACACAUACGAUACUAAAUGAGGAAGGGGCUUUAGUGUUUCUAGCUGUCCUCCCCCUCUCUUCUUCUCCCUUUUUUUUUUUUCAAUUUUUUGCUUUCAUGAUGCGUUUCUCUGCACUGGCAUGGCAAGCAUUGCAUGUGGAUUCCAGGAGUAUUAUAUAGAGGUCUUGUUCAACUGAAUAAAAUUUCAUGCCAACAAUUUGGGAUCUGCCUUUUCUUUCUUUUCAAUCUAGUAUAACACCCUUUUCCUAGGCUCGGAAACAGUUUUGUAAAAAUACUACUGGUAUCCAAACAUGAGUCCCUCUAUCGUGUUAAGAAUGGUUUGAAUAUGGUCGUGGCAUGCAGGCCUGAUAUGAACUUUGAUUUCAUGUGCAACAGGUGUGGAUCUCAGUUGUACUUGGGUUGUGCCCCUUUUUCAUUGUAAUAAUUUUUAUUCUCUUUGCCUACCAACAACAAAAGAAAAAAAAUCAACAUGUUUGGAGCAUUUAUUUUCCUUGAAACACAAGUGAUAUGAUGAGGGUUGGCACAACUAGUUUGAAUGUGAUCCCUCAUGAUAUUAUAGAGUAUCUGCAGUUGCCUAUGGUUUUUAGAUGUUAGCGGGUUUUUGGAUGUUAUUCGUGGUUAAUUCUCAGAUUCUCUUGGGAUUUGCUGUGUUAAGUUAUAUGUUAUUCUCUAUCUUUGCAGUGUCAACAAUAAAGUAGUAAAAAUAUGCCCAUUGUUCCUGUAAUGAAAUGUACUAGUUCAUUUUAUCUUUUUUUUUUUAAAUCUUAGUUCUGAUAUAUAACAUUAUUCUUUGAUUAAAUGUUAAUAGAAUCACUUUGCGCUAGUUCACAUUUCAUUUCAAUAUUUAACCAAACAACAAAACUAGGCAGUAAUUCAUUCAGACGGUAUACAAAACUCGACGGUACUUCAUGUAUGCUUACAUUGUUCUCACAUCUCAUAAUUUCAAGCAUUAGUACCUUUUGGCUCAUUUCUAAUUUGUUUGGAAAGGGGGAAAAGGUAAAAAAAACCUUCAGUUGACUAGAGCAAGAUGAGUGCUUUGCUUUUUUCUUCUUCUUCUUCAUUUUUUUGAAGAGAAGUUCCAACACUGAUCUUGACAGAUGAGUGCUUUGCUUUUCUUCUUCUUCUUCUUCCUUUUUUUAAAGACAAGUUUCAACACUGAUCUUGACAGGUGUACUAUUCUCAUUUACUAAUUUAUUUUGUAAUUUAUUUUCUGACCACUUGCAGGAAUGCCUUGGGUCCCUCUUCUGGCACAGUAUGUCUAUCUGGAUUACUUAUUUGUGCUGUUCAUGUGGUGCGUGCUGCUGUUGAUAGUGCAAGACAAGAAGAACUUCAGGGAAUAGUGAACCUUAUGCUCCGAUGCUGCGUUAAUGCCUUGCUGACAGCUAUUGAUUUUCUUAACAAGUUCACCAUCAAUUUUGCAGCAAUAACUGGUGAAGCUUACUGUACAUCUGCAAGGAUGACAUAUGAGCUUCUAAAGCGUAAUCUACUUUCUGCUGUUUUUGUGGAGACUGUCUCCUCUCGAAUAUUAGGUGGCAUUGUUUUUGUGUUCUCAGCAAUAUAUGCAAUUGUGGUAAGUAGUUCUUUCCCUGCCUAAUCAUUCAAGUUUGCAUAUUAGUUGUUUAAGAUGGUCCUGCAAUGGGUGGAUGAUAUGCUGAAGUUAUCACAUUGUUACACAUGUGACAUUCUUCAGGCACUUCAUGACAGGCUGUUGAAUUUUUUAUUUGUUUCUUGAUUCUGGAUGUGUAUGUGCAGGCUUGUGCUAUCUUAAAGGCUGUAAGCAAUCUUGGAGCUGAUGCAUACUUUGUGGCCGCUCUGGCAUGGGUACUGCUGAUCUUGGUGCUGGGUUUCUUUGUUCAUGUGCUCGACAAUGUGAUUGACACAGUUUAUGUGUGCUAUGCCAUAGAUAGGGACAGGGGGGAGGUUUGUAAACAGGAGGUUCAUGAAGUUUAUGUUAACCUACCCAUCCGAAGGAACCAUAGAUCAUCUCUUGCCAACAGAACAGUAGGUGUAUAGUUGACCAUGAAUUCAACUUGCGUGUUGGGGUUUUGCCUCUCACUUGUUGUCUGUAUGAAGUUAAAACUGCAUCUCGAUGAGUUGUGCAUACCUUCGAAUGUUGCAUUGUACAAUUUCUAGGUUGGUUCAAUAAAGAGGUAGUCCAGACAGCUUAUUGGAUCAAUUCAGUUUGUUCUUCUGUUGUGCAAGACAAAUCACGUGAAGCACAAACAAACCCAUUGGUGCUUGUCACCUAUGGAGGUGAUCGGCUGGGGACUGAUAUUUUGGCCGAGUUGGUGAACCAUGAGAAAUGUGUUUCUGCUACUCUUUUUUCUUUUGGCCUGCACACAUUUGGAUCAGGUGUCAUCAGCCAUGAAUUCUGUUUCAGUCUUGCAGGUGUAUCCUUUUCUAUUAAUGAAGGUGUCACUUCUACUUAUUGGGGAAAUUUUCUUGUCUUUUCAGUUUUUAUUGAUGAUACUGAAUACUCAAGAUCAAUAUGUUAAAAUCCGACAGUUGUAUUCAUUUCGGUACAGGUACCUCAUCAAUGCUUAGAUGGUGUUAUUUAAUACAUUCCCAUCCUGUUCCUGUUCAUAAAUUCUUCAAUAAUUUCUUAUUUUAUUUGUUUCUCUUUAUGAGCAUUUAAUGAAAGAGAGUAACAAUAUGAAUGCCUGUACAAUCAUCAACAUCGAUUCUCACUCACCUCUCCAAUGAGUUCCUUUUAUUUCUCAUGUUACAAGACAAAUGAUUCUGUUUAGGUUGUGUUUUAGAAAGGACCCUGAAUUUUGAUUGGAAUACCUAAUGCUCCCCCAAGUUUGAUUUCUUCUUUUGAUUCAUUUGAAGUGGAUGGGUCUUCUUGUUGAUUUGGGAUUAUGAUUUUCUUAAUAUAGGCUUCUGUAAAUGAUUUGUGGUUUGUUUGAAGUGACUUGGUCUUCUGGUUGAUUUGAGAUAUACUUUUCUCAAUGUCAGAUUUUAUGAAUGAUUUGUGGAUUGUUUGAAGUGAUUAGGUCUUGUAGCUGAUCUGGGAUUCUAUUUCCUCGAUGUAGGGUUUUAUAAAUGAUUCACUGGUCCACUGGUCUUCUGUAAACUAAGUGUAUUGUCCUCCAUAUAUCUGCCCCAAAUCACAGAAGGAAAACCAAAGGGAAGAGUAAAGAGAACCCCACCCCACCCAUACAGCACAAACAACUCAGACUAAGGAGGCCAUUAUCAUCCUUUAAAUGUCCUGAUAUCCUGUUUAACCAAUUCCUGUGCAACAACAUGGUUUCUUCUAUUUCCUUCAGUAGACAGUAUAAACAAAAUGAGCUAACAAUGAAGCUGUGAAGCUCAAAUCAAUCACUUUUUACUUUUCUUCUUUUGAUGCAUUUCCUGUGAUAGGUUGCUAUUGGGAUGGUGACUUGUCCUCUGUUGAUGUUGGGACCUUCUUCUUUUCUGACGUUAAAACAAGUGAAAUUGUGUUCAGACAUCAAGCUCUGUUAUUUCUUUUCUGGUAGUUGAUUGGCCUCUGCUUGAGUUUGAGUUUUCCGAGUUAAGCUUGGAGGGAAGGUGAGAGUCAAUAAACAAAAAAUUAUGGAACUGCUUGCAAUGGGGCCAAUCUUGACAGGUUGGCCUUGGUUUCAUGGUCUGCUAAUGGCACCAAAAGUGCAAGAUCAACCAGACUGGCCUUGAGCAUGACAGCCUAAGUUUGGUUUUAACCUCCAUUUUUCGGGUUUUGCAGAUAAAACCAUAGCCAUGAUCAGGAUAGACAUGUUUGCCUAAGCAGCAAAACCCAUCCCAUGCACCCCUGUUUCAAAAGUUCCAUGGAAUCGGAUAAAAGCCCUCAGCUACCAACAUGGCCUGUGAGUUGUACGAUUCUUGUCCACUGAUUAUUUGUCCAUUAAUCUUGGGCCCUUUGCUAAACCAAGUACUUCCAUUAGAAAGAAGCCAAGAACUAGCGCCUUGAUUCAUGGGGUCCCAAAACAGAGCAGUUAGUUAGCCAAAUCCUCGACCACAACCCUCAGUUGGGUUCACCAUAAUUGUGAUUUGAGCACUGGAGAGUCAGAUUCUAGUAAUAAAAUUGAGCCAUGAGACACUCGUGUGGACACCCACAUGAAGGACAUGUCCCCCAUACACGUUCACUUGUUCUGUUCCUGGAAAUUUCACUGAAUUUUUAGUGUUUGUUCCCUCUCUGUUUCAGCUUGAUUCUCCAUCUCUCUCACACACACCCAACCCCUCAUCUUUAUCCCAAUAUUAAAAACCCUAUGCCAUACUAUUUUAUGUGAUCCAUGUUAGGUUUGUUGCCCUUAUCUUCCAAAAUUGCUUUAGACAUUUUUAUGGGACAACUCAUGCUUGGGGAUUUGAAAUCUUGGAGUUAUUACACCCAAUACUUAUAAAAUAUGAAGGGUAUGAAUAUGGAUUACUACUAAAGUAUUCUGCAUGCACUGAAUCAUUUGCAUGUAGAAGUUUGUCAUUCUCUCUUUUCAUCUUGGUCAUUGCAUAUCGCAUAAGUGUAUAGCAAAAGUAAAUAUGAUCCAAAACAUAAAGAAUAAGAUGAUAGUAUGACCAAGAUAUGAAAAAUGAAUUUAGGGUAUGAAAAAAAUGAUCAAGGGUAUGUAUAAUACGAUCAAUUUUUCGUAUUGAAUGGUCUACGUUCAAUCAAACCAAAAUAGAAUACAAUUGAAUUAUGAUCAAAUGCGAAAAUAUGAUCAAGAAUAAUGACAAUAUACUUGGUGACAAAAUACUAUCAUUGGCUCGUAUUAUAUACCAAAGAUGAAAUGGUACGAACCUAGAAUUUCCCUUUCAUCUUUUGACCAUUUAGCUGUGGUUUUCUUCCCAUGUCUACUUUGCUUUCAAGCAAAGACUCUGGGAGAAACUCAAGAGAGGGAUAUGGGGAUGUGGGUGUGCUAUCCAAAAUGGGACCACUGUAUUUUUUAUGCAGAGAACUUUUGUUUAUGUUAGCAUGUUUGGCUUGUAUGUGGCAAGUUGAUGAAUCAUAUGCCCAUUUAUUUAAGUUUUAUACCAAAAUAAUAUUAAAAAAAAAAAAAACCUAAAUCUAGAUUAGGUUCUAAAAUAACUCCCAAUCGAUCUAGUUUGUUUUGUCCUUAGAAUGUUUAAUUAUAAGUCAAAAUUGCUGUAAGAUGUGUUUUUAAUUUUGGGAAAAGUGGAUUUUGAUUUAUUAAUAUAAAAAUAUAUGAAAAAAAAUAAUCCUAAUUUUUUUAAAUCAGUAUUAUCUUCAUUUAUUUAAAAAUAAUUUGAAAUAUAUGUACUUUUUAAUGAUCAUAUAAUUAUUCUUUAAAAUGUUUCUUUUACUUAUGAUGUCAUUAACAAUAAUUGACAACUAAACUUUGAUACGUAAACAUUUUCCUUCUUUUUAGAUAUGCUCUUUAUUAUUAUUAUUAUUAUUUUUGUGUUAUUUAUCAUUCUUUUUAAAAAUAUAAAUUAGCUAUGAAAAAAAUAAAAAAAAAUUCAAAAAAUGAAUAUCAAUGAAUUUAAACCACGAUGUUAUAUUUUGGUGUGGUUUUGAUUUGUAAUUAAAAGUAACACCCUUAGGUUAUAUUUGGUUCUCAGAAAGUACAAAAAAAAAAAAGCAAAAAAAUGUUAAGGAAAAUGAUUUUUUCAUAUUGAUUAUCUUAUAAAAUAUUUCAAAGAAAAUUAAAUAUAAUUAAAAUUAGUUAGAAACUUAUGCAUUUUAAAAAUUAUUUGAUUUUUAUAUUGAUGAAUUAAAAUAAAUAAAAUAAGUUUGAAGUAGUAAAUAAAAAUAAUUUAUCAUCUUUAACUCUAUUUUUUAUUUUUCCUUCACUUUUUUUUUGCUUUUACUUUUCUUCUUUAUUUUCUUUUCUUUGCAUUUUUUUUUCAAAUUUUCCGAUAAUAAAGCGUAGCCUUAAUAUUAUUUUGGUUUAAAACUUCAUUUAUGAACUAUUUAUUGCAUCUGUCCUUUCUUAGUGCCCCCUUUGCUGGCUUUUCUGACCCCUAAGCCUUGAGUUAUGUUACAUUAAUUCUUCUUCCUAUACCACUGCCAAACCCUAAUUCCUUGAACUUUCUUUCUUUCUUUUUUUUUAUAAUUUUUUUUCUAAAAUAAAAGAAAAAUUAAUUUCAUCAGCUAUAACAUCACUUUCACAUAAAUGCUCAUCCAAUUUAGGGGCAAAAAAGGAAAAAAAUAAAAUAAAAUGAAUUAAAAGGAUCUUUUUAGAAAAAAAAAUUAUUAAUUGUACUAUAUGUGGAGCAACAUAAAUGCCAUUUGAUUAGAAAAUAACCUUAAAAAAUUUACUAAAAUUAAUAAAAAAAUAAAUCGUACAAUAAUUGUAAUUUCUUUAGAAAAAACUUUAAUGUAAUCAAACCCACGUACAUUAGGGAGUUCCUAAGCUGAGGGCAAAAUGGUCACUUCAAACCAUGUACUGUAUAUUAUUAUUAUUAUUAUUAAUUAAUUAUUAUAUUUAUCAUUGAUCUACGAUAGACCACCGAACUAAAAUCGUAAUUACCGUCAAUUCCAGUGGCAUUUCGAAAACCCACAUCUUUAUAUAACUCCAUGCACCAUACUCUGAAUUCAGACCACCUCUCUCCUUCCAUCAAAAACAUCAGCAGCAAUGGCUAUGGCUUUCAAGAUGGUAUGUUGUAUGAAUUUUAAUUUUGUUUUCCAAAAUUGCUUUCACUGUUUCCAUAUCCCAGCUGAUCCGGUGCUGCCGGAGUGCAGGCGACGACCGGAAUGUGGGUGACCGACGAGUGCAAAAACUCAUUCAUGGAGAUGAAAUGGAAGAAGGUUCACAGGUACAUAGUGUUCAAGAUCGAUGAGGGAUCCAAGCUGGUGACCGUCGAUAAGGUCGGCGGGCCUGGGGAAGGCUACGACGAGCUCGCCGCGUCGCUGCCGACCGAUGAUUGUCGAUACGCCGUCUUCGAUUUCGACUUUGUCACCAAUGAUAACUGCAGGAAGAGCAAGAUCUUCUUCAUUGCCUGGUCUGCACUUUUGGCAUCUUCUUCAUGCUCCAUACCAUACAGUUCUUUUUUUAUUUAUUUUUUCAUUUUGAGUUAUAUGACUUGACCGUUUUACCCUCACUUCAGAGCAUAAGGGUAAUAUGGUAAUUUAACCUUUUGAUUACAAAAUGAUCCUAUUAUUAGGGCACCUAAUGGCACAAUUAUUGGAAUUAAAUGAUUUUUUUAAUCCCUCUAGGUCACCAACGGCAUCAAGGAUAAGAGCAAAAAUGUUAUAUGCGACAUCAAAAGAAGGAUUAAGGAGAGUGCUGGAUGGAAUACAUUAUGAUAUGCAAGCCACCGACCCAACAGAGAUGGGGAUGGAUGUGAUUAAAGAUCGAGCUAAAUAAAUACAUUUGUGAUAAUUUAAUUAUGUUCUCAAAUUUUACUUUAAUUUAAUAACUCGCACCAGACUUGCUUUGUAGUGUUACCUUCCUCGGUUUUGGUACUAAUGUAAGUUAAUCUUCAUCUAAUUUGUAAUAAUAAUAAUAAUAAUAUGUACCAUGUGUGUUUAAUUUAUAAGAAAGUGGGGUUUUUUUUUUUUUUUAAUUGGGCGUGGAUCUACCUUGCCCACAAGCAAGAGUUGGGAUACCCAUGAGGUUAAAUAAUGAAGUUGAUUUGGUGGGUUGUAGCUAUUGGAUCUUCUUUUUUUUGGGGCAUUGGGGUCUUUGAUGAGGCCAAGCUCAUUCAAUUUGACAAUCAAAAAUCAUGGUGUGAUGGGACUCUCGACCCUACUAAUAAAGGGGUGAAACAAAUUGAGAUGGAGAAGAUCCACCCACAAAUAAAUCAUUUUCAACCCCCACUUUUUUUUUUUUUUUUUUCCCACGAUCAAAUUGGAGAAACAUUUCUUCCCUUUAUCUUGAUGAUAGUGGUGGUGGUGGUGCCACAUUACAAUAUGUCAUGACCAACUUUAAUCAAUUCCGAUUCCAAUGUCAAUUUUGGCAUAUAAAAUCAUUUUUUACUAAGGGUUCAUCUUAUCCCUUUUCGACUUAAGAUUUUUAUUUAGAAAGAUGAUUUUGAAAUUAGGCGUUUGAUUUUGAUUUUUAUAUUUUAAAUAUGAAAAAUCAUUUAAAGUGAUUUCUGAAUAAUUACUUAACAUGUGAUUCUUCAAUGGAGACGUAUUAAUAAAAAAGAUGAAAAUGCUUUAAUCAGAGACACUUUCUGAAUGGACUCUUGAUAUUAUUUGUCAAAAAAAUUUUGUAAUGUUUCAAGUGAACCUUAAUAAUGGCUAAGUUUAUAAUAUAUGGUGAUUUUUCAAUAAAGCAACUUUUGAUUUACUUUUGUGCUUCAAUUACUAUAUCCAAUGAUCACUCUAGGGCUUUUGCAACCACCACAAUGAUGCCACACCAAAAUCAACUUUGCUUGAUGUCAUAUAUCACUGUUCAUGAAGCAAAGGCCACUAGGGUCCAACUGCCUAUGAAGAAUGUAUCAUAGUAUAAAAAGGUUGUAAGGAUACCCAUAGCCAAUUGGCACUAAACAGUGAAGUUUGAUGAUGAGCACUCCAAUUAUGAGCAACAAACAAAUGGCCUAGUGAUUGAAGUGACCUAAAAUUGGUGGCUUGUGUUGUGGCCUAGUGAUUUGGGGUAUCAAUGAGAACAGGCCCAUUUGGGAGAUGACUCGAGCUCUUCCAAACUGAUGAUCCAAUUUUAUCUUCCCAUGGAAGGAUAGGGCCGACCCAUUUGACUAGAUUGGAGAGAGGACAAAUGCAGAAGACCAAUCACUAACAAUCAAACACUCACUGCACUUGAUCUUUUGUCCCUUCAAUCUUCAAGAUUUGGAAAUUUUUGUAGUUUUGUAUGUCUUCUUCCUACUUCUAACUUAAAGAUGAAGUUCAAUGCAUGUUAAGAAAUGAGAUAGACUCAAACUAGGGAGUCAUGGGUCCUUGCCAUUGGGCCAGAAAUGCCACGCCUAUGGGCUGUCUAAGACCAGAAGGGAGACAUGCAAGCAUGAUGUCAUGGGCCCAAUAGGAUAUGUGAGAGGUAAAGUUAGGUUGAAUUUUCCGUAACCCAAGGGACAAAUAAUUAUUUAUGACUAAGUGAAAAGAUGCUUUAGGGUACACUUGAGGUAGAUGUUAUUUUUAUUUAGUCUCUGCUAGAAGAAUUUGAUGCUAUGGAGUAUGAAUCAUAUCUUUUAAAGAAAGAUAUGAUUUGAUUAUUAAGGUGGGGUUUUGGUGCUUUUCCUUUUAUCAUUGGGUUUAGUUGCUAAUGGUGGGUUUACAAGAAAGGUUUCCAAGUUCCAAAAGCCAUUGGAGUCAAAAUUACACAAUCUUCUUGGUAAGUAACUUUGGUUCAUUGCAUGGCUUGCCUUGGUUGAAGUCGUUCCUUCAAUUCAACAAGAAGUUACUAUUAUCGAUGCCCUUUUCAUCAAAAGUCGGAAAGCUCAAUUAUAGAGGUUUAGCUCCCAAAUAACACUAAUUUUAGAAUGUUUCUCCUACUUUCGAUUUGAAAAUCAAUCAUCGAGUCAAUUUUAUCUAUAAGAUUCAAGUGUAAUCGAGAAAGACCUUCAAAUUAAAAGAUGAAAACUUAAAAGAUUUACUACUUAAUCUUAAGUAGUGUUUGUUUUUUGGUUGAAUAGAAAAAACCAAAAUAUUUGACUUUUUCUAUUCAACUAAAAGUAAUCUGUUGACAUCAUCUAACAUAGUUAAAGUGAAUUUAUUAUCAACGGGUUCAAUUUAGUUAUGUUGAAUGAUAUCAAUAAAUUAUUUUUAGUUGAAGAGAACAAGCUAAAUAUUUUGACCUUUUCUAUUCGAUCAAAAAACAAACACCACCUUAGUUUAUAAGUACUCUUCCAAUUCCGAUCACUCCUUAUCAACAUUAUUUAUAUAUCUAGAGUGAUUUGAUGUCUUAAUCAUUCCUAAAAAUACUCAAUUUCUCAUUGAUAUUAUUUUUAUAUAUAUAUGAAAUAAUUGUACGACACUUAAACCCUGAUUCAAAAUGUUAUAAUCACAUAUUUAAUUUUCCACCAAGAUGAUAAUUAUGGAGACAAUGAGUUGAUUACAUUAUUAAAGGUUGGGAAAUAUUGUGAUGAAAAAAUAAUAAAAAAAACCCCAACCCCACAAAAUAGAAAACCCUGCAGCCAUGGGUUCAUUUUCAAGAUGGUCCCUUGUCCUUUCCUUGCAAUCAGACCAAAACUUGUGGGAAAUGAGAGCCAGAGAUGCCAAUAAUUGGGAUGAGAUUUAUGAGUAGGAUAGGGUUUCCACCCAACUUCUUUGUUUCCAUCCACAACCGAUGGUUAGAGCAAUUGCUAGCACUCAAUUCCUCUUCAUUGUCUUACCAAUUGAGAGCACUCAAUUGCUUUUAGUUGUACUUUUAUUUUCCGCUUUUGUUUCUUGAGACAUACCAAUGAGGCAUCCCCGUUAAUCCAAGCCUUUAAACUAAAUCACUAAACUUGAUGAGUUUUGGGUCAAAAUGGCCCAUUUAUUAAAAAAAAAUAUAAGAUAUAGCCCAUUUUUGAAACUUAUGUUCAAAAUGCCCUCUUUGGUGCCAAAUAAGCAUCACGUCAUAAAAAAAAAAUAUUUUUUUAUUAUUUUAGUUGAAGUCUCAGUUGCCAACUGAAGCUUUAGUUAAUUUUUUUUUUAAAUUAAAAUUUAAUUAAAAAUGAUUAAAUUAUAAUUUAUGAUUGAAAUUUAAAAAAUAUACUUAAAUAAUAAAUUAUUUAUAUUUAAAUUUAAGAAUUUAGUAUUAGUUCAACAAAUAUAAAUUGAUAAAUAAAAGAUAUUAUAAAUGAAUAUUUUAUUUAUUAAUAAAUUAAUAAUUUUAAAAUAAUAAAUUUAUAUAACACAUAAAUAAUAUAUAAAAUUGUAUUUUUUUUUAGCAACCGAAACUUAAAAAUAUAAUAUUAUUUCAAUAAAGAUAAAUUUGUUAUAAUACAAAUAAUUAAUAUCUUAAAAAACAACAAAUUAAAUAUCUUAAAUUAAUAAAUUAUAUAAUUUUAUAUAUUAUUUAUAUGUUAUAUAAAUUUAUUAUUUUAAGAUUAUUAAUUUAUUAAUAAAUAAAAUAUUUAUUUAUAAUAUCUUCUAUUUAUCAAUUUAUGUUUGUUGAAGUAAUACUAAAUUCCUAAGUUUAAAUAUAAAUAAUUUAUUGUUUAAGUAUAUUUUUAAAAUUUCAAUCAUAAAUUGUAAUUUAAUUAUUUUUAAUUAAAUUUUAAAUUUUAAAAAAAAUUAACUAAAACCUUAGUUGACAACUACGACUUUAGUUUAAAAAUGAAGCCUCAGUUGGCAACCGCGACUUCAAUUCAAAAACGAAGUUUUAGUUGGUAACUGAAGUUUCAACUAAAAUGAUAAAAAAAAAAAAAAAAAAAAUUAUGAUAUGGUGGUUACGUGGCACAAAAAAGCCAUUUUAAACAUAAGUUUUAAAAAGAAUUACAUCUUAUACAUUUUUUUUUAAUAAAUUGGUCAUUUUUACCCAAUACUCAAACUUGGUGGCUUGUACUGUUGUUCGAUUGACUAUUUGGAUCCGAUCAACUUCUGUUGCUACGUAGUUGUAUACACUUUUUAGAAUUUAAUUCACUUACUUUUUAUUCUCUAUAAAAUUAAGUAAUUUAAAAUUACAUAAUUUUUUAAUUUUAGUUAUAUUUGAUUUUAUUUUCUUUUAUAUUUUUAUUGCAAAUCAUAGUAAAAUUAUUUUUCUAAAUUUGUAUUUCCCUUUUUAAAACAUUUUAGAAAAGUAUUUUAAAAUUAUGUUUCACCUUUAAAUUCAGUCUUCAUUGUUGAAAAAACUCUUUAAAAAUGUUACAUUUUUUAUUUUAAAAACAUUAUAAUUUUUACAAAUUUAAAAUAUUCAUUUUUAAAAAAAAAUUAUUAAAUCAAAAUGUGAGCAUGGGGCAGCCCUCAGAGUGGGACACGUCGCUUUCCAGCUCAAUAAAAGUCAGAUGAUGUCAGAACUCAGAAACGAGAAAGGUCAGAGACAGCUGAUGUGGGACAGUUGAAUGAUUACGUGUCGGCCAUGAGGCUAUGCACGUGUACCCCCACACCACAUCUCUGCCGUCGGAUCAAUCAUAUACUAGAACCAGUCAAUGAUCUCUCCAUGUGAUGGCCAUCAUCUAAACCGUCCGAUGAGUGGAAAGUCCAUCUGUAAAAACCAACAUUAGCCGCAAUAGAAGCGAGUAGUUGGCUUUUUCUAACUCCACUGACAUGUUCCCUAGCUUUAGUAAAGCAUCGUGGUUAAGAAAUGCUGCUCCCCACGCGCCUUCUCUCCCACACGCGCCCUAAUUUUGAUUUUUACCAUAAUUUUUUAAACUAAUUUAAAUCCUAGCCAACAUCCACCUUUUUCAAACUUCUACUAAGCUAUACCACCUCAAAUAUUACCAACUCUCCUAAAAGCAAUUACUGUUAGGAAGUACGCACACUCUAACCUUAUAGUGCAUUCACCCAAGCGUCCACGACGAACACAAAGGGAGUUGAUGGAUACAAUCAACCUUUCGAUCUACUAACAAUCUCCCCCUAGCAAUACCCCGACUCUGAUACCACUUGUAGGACUUCAAGUGCUACUAACUCUCAUAAAAACAAUUAUUGUUAGGAAAUGUGUCUACCCUACCUUUAUAAUAUAUUCACCCAAACGCUCACGACAAACACAAGG